AUGGCACCAACAGCGGUAGAAGUUUUGAGUAGAGACAAUCCACUCCUCAGAAAUGAGGUCAAACGAAUUUCUGAGAAGUGGGAGAAGCGGACAGUUAAAUCAGGCACAAUAUGGCCCGUGGGAGGGACUUUUGAUCAGACAAUGUGUAGGGACAUGGAGGUAGUAAUAAGGAACUACAAACCUAACAGAAGUGGUAAAAAGCCCUUGGAGAAGAGAGACAGGGAAAAGUUAGUGCUAGCUUUGUUCGAAGAGGAGGGAGAGAGGUGGCGCGCAUUACGAGUGGCCAGAAGAAUAAUCACAAAGAAAGAAGAGGCUCAACCUUUGCCUCUGAAGCUUGAGCCACCGCUGUACAAACCAAAUAAGAUGUAUCCACUGUUAACUGGCAACGUAGAAAUUAAAGGGGAAGUCACACUAGAUGAAGGAGAUAAGUGUAACACACAGGGGAAUAGGGGCGCACCCAUACACAUGGACUGUUAUGAGGGGAUUAGGAAAGCAAGACAAGAGUGUAGCAAUGCUGACACUAGUUAUAGUAAGAGUGAGGAUGAGGACGAAGAUGAGACAAGUGGUGAUGAGCACAGUAAUAAAGAUGUGAAAGAUGGUAAUGAGCGAAUUUGCGAAGGGCCUUCUUCUAGAAAGAAAAGGAGAGGAAAAAACACAAAGACGAGGACGAAGUCUCAGAAAAGGCAAACAAAAAAGAGUACUAAACUCAAGGGGGAGAGGUAUAGUGAGAGCCCAGCGACAGAGGAGCCUGGCUGCAGUAUAUCAGUACUAAGCCCCACACCACUCGAGUUAAAUGAGAAACUAAGGAAAUCGCAAAGGGGAAAAAAGGCACCCGACACCCUCCCCGGGAACUAUCCUAUUCUAGUCAAAGGACAACAUGUCCACUAUCAACCGUGGGGUUCACAGGACUUGGAGGGAGUUAUUUCUAAACUCCCUAACAUUCAUAACGGGGCGGCUAAAUGGAUUCGAACAUUUGAGGAACUCACAGUGGGAAACCUAAUGGCAGUGGGGGACCUGAAUGCUCUGUUGGCAAGAGUAUUGGGGUUAUCUAAAAUGGAGUCUGUACUGAGGAAUGGAGGGUUGGAUAUAAUGGACGGAAUCCAUGAUGGGACUACACUUAAUUACUACAGAGUGGCGAUGUGGAACACACUCAGAAGGGAGUUCCCGACCCAUAGCGAUCAUAAAAACAUGAGAGGCCUCCCCAUCAAUGACACAGAGAAUCCUGCAUCCUACCUCCAGGCCCAAGUCGACAGAUGGCGCUUGGAGACUAAUGAGGAUCCUGAGAUCCAUCCUGUGUUUUCGGUCAUGUUCAGAAACUCUGUGAUAAAGAUUCUAACUAGCCCAAUCAAAGUUAAGCUGGAUGAUGUGGUUGGACUGGUUACAAAUAAAUCUCACAGAGACUUUUGCGAUCAUGUGGUUCAUGCAGUGGACAAAUAUCGGCAGAAUGAACACAAAAUACAGGAACAAAGCAAAGAGGUGCAAAGGAAGCUAUCUCAGCUUCAGUUGGAAGAACUCACAAGAAGAGAGAAAGAGAAGAAGAAACAGGCAGUUGUUUCAGAACCUGUUGAUACAAUAUUGCAAGCCGUCCAGCAGGGCGCACCACAAACCCAACCUCCUCAACAGGCAUUCUUCCCCCCAGUACAACAGCCUCAGAGCCAAUGGUCACCCACUCCACCUGCCAUAAAUAUAGACACACAUAACAAUGGGAACCCAAUGGGUGGGAACAAGCAGAAUCACAACAAGGGGCCCCAGGGACAGUAUAAGAAUAAUCAGCAACAGGGGUCCCAAGGGCAGUAUAAAAAUAAUCAACAGCAAGGAUUCCAAGGACAACGCAGAGGUCCUUUAAUAUGUUAUGGGUGCAACCAGGAAGGACAUAUGAAGAGAAAUCGUUUGACUAACCCUCUUCCAUCCCAGCAAGGACAGGGUAACGGUUAUCAGGGGAGGCAAGAUCAAGGGAACUACAACCAGGGACAGCAGGGUCCCUUUAUGGGACAGGGAUACUAG
Long non-coding RNA from Gadus morhua (Atlantic cod), 2004 nucleotides. Lineage: Eukaryota; Metazoa; Chordata; Actinopteri; Gadiformes; Gadidae. The record is from Ensembl.